RNAcentral lists this ribosomal RNA (521 nucleotides) under uncultured fungus. RNAcentral's name for it is "eukaryotic LSU rRNA". The stretch from base 172 to 325 matches the Rfam family "5.8S ribosomal RNA". The record is from RNAcentral. Lineage: Eukaryota; Fungi.
UCCGUAGGUGAACCUGCGGAAGGAUCAUUAUUGAAGGGGAAGGAAACUUCCCCAAAAAGUAUGAAACCCUUGUCUAUGAGUACUACCGUUUCCUCGGCAGGCUUGCCUGCCAAUGGGGGACCCUUAUCAAUCUUUUAAUAAUGUUGUAACCGUAACCAAACAAAUAAUCAAAACUUUCAACAACGGAUCUCUUGGUUCUGGCAUCGAUGAAGAACGCAGCGAAAUGCGAUAAGUAGUGUGAAUUGCAGAAUUCAGUGAAUCAUCGAAUCUUUGAACGCACAUUGCGCCCUGUGGUAUUCCGCAGGGCAUGCCUGUUCGAGCGUCAUUUGUACCCUCAAGCUUUGCUUGGUGUUGGGCGUCUUGUCUCCAGUCUGCUGGAGACUCGCCUUAAAGUCAUUGGCAGCCGGCGUAUUGAUUUCGGAGCGCAGUACAUCUCGCGCUUUGCACUCAUAACGACGACGUCCAAAAGUACUUUUUACACUCUUGACCUCGGAUCAGGUAGGGAUACCCGCUGAACUUAA